Molecule: ribosomal RNA, 409 nt
Filed under: uncultured bacterium
Lineage: Bacteria
Description: bacterial SSU rRNA
Rfam family: Bacterial small subunit ribosomal RNA
Source: RNAcentral
GUGCCAGCCGCCGCGGUAAUACGUAGGUCCCGAGCGUUGUCCGGAUUUAUUGGGCGUAAAGCGAGCGCAGGUGGUUUAUAAGUCUGGUGUAAAAGGCAGUGGCUCAACCAUUGUAUGCAUUGGAAACUGGUAGACUUGAGUGCAGGAGAGGAGAGUGGAAUUCCAUGUGUAGCGGUGAAAUGCGUAGAUAUAUGGAGGAACACCGGUGGCGAAAGCGGCUCUCUGGCCUGUAACUGACACUGAGGCUCGAAAGCGUGGGGAGCAAACAGGAUUAGAUACCCUGGUAGUCCACGCCGUAAACGAUGAGUGCUAGAUGUAGGAGCUAUAAGUUCUCUGUAUCGCAGCUAACGCAAUAAGCAACUCCGCCUAGGGGAGUACGACCGCAAGGUUGAAACUCAAAGGAAUUGAC